GUUUUGAAUAAUAAAUGUUACCUUUAAGUUAUUCAAAAACUAGAUAUAGAGAUUGUACAGUCACACCAAUAGGGGGUCACUAUCGUGUAUUUCAUGAACAAGUAUAAUCAAAUCAAAAAUAAUUGUUGCAUAGUGUGUCCCUUGGAUAAAUGUACAAUAUUACAAAUUUGUGAAAAGAUGCUCCAACUGUUGAUCUGACAGGGGAGAUAAUGCUGUAAACAGUGAUCCUUUAUUGGCGAUAGUGAUUUAUAUGAGCUGACAUGAAUUAUUGUUUUGUUCAUCUAGUAUUAAUGCUGUGGGAGGCCAUGGGAGGUCCAUUGAAGACCUCAAAAGUAAAUGGAAACAACUUAAGUGCCGGACUGUUGCAAAGGCACGAAAAAACCAUAAAGAAGUACAGAAGACAGGUGGUGGGGAGCCAGUAAAGGGACUCAAUACUGUUCAAGAAAAGGUACUCUCCUGUGUUCCAAAGGUGGUCCUGGAUGGGCUGAAAGGGAAUGACACCGGACCAAUAGGUACA
This is a long non-coding RNA of Dreissena polymorpha, 517 nucleotides long. RefSeq lists it as uncharacterized. NCBI's taxonomy places the organism in Eukaryota, Metazoa, Mollusca, Bivalvia, Myida, Dreissenidae. The transcript is spliced from 3 exons. The record is from RefSeq and is a predicted model, not a curated record.